Molecule: small nuclear RNA, 133 nt
Filed under: Salvator merianae (Argentine black and white tegu)
Lineage: Eukaryota; Metazoa; Chordata; Lepidosauria; Squamata; Teiidae
Description: U1 spliceosomal RNA (ENSSMRG00000005016.1)
Rfam family: U1 spliceosomal RNA
About the family: U1 is a small nuclear RNA (snRNA) component of the spliceosome (involved in pre-mRNA splicing). Its 5' end forms complementary base pairs with the 5' splice junction, thus defining the 5' donor site of an intron.
Source: RNAcentral
AUACUUACCUGGCAGGGGAGACACCAUGUUCAUGAAAGUGGUUUUCCCAAGGUGAGGCUCAUCCAUUACAUUCUGGGUGGGCUGACUCUUGCAAUUUCCCCAAAUGUGGGAAACUCAACUGCAUAAUUUGAAA